Molecule: long non-coding RNA, 397 nt
Filed under: Mus spicilegus (steppe mouse)
Lineage: Eukaryota; Metazoa; Chordata; Mammalia; Rodentia; Muridae
Description: lncRNA (ENSMSIG00000000252.1)
Source: RNAcentral
GCGGUUUAUUAGCAAGGAAGAGCUUCACUUCUCCCAGCUCCGGACUACUCACGACAAAAUUUGAGGCAUUUUCAUCUUGAGAUUCCCAGAUCCUGUUCACUAAAUGAUAUGGUAUCACAGAGGCAUGGAACUUCUUGAAAUUCCGAGUGAAAGAAUUUAAAAUAGCAACGACGACGGUGGGUCUGGCAGCAGGCAAGAAUCGUCUUUACCAUCGCUGCUGAACGGACCGGGAAGCUGAAUUCUGUGUUCCUCAUCAGCAACUUUAGAGAAUCCAGGAAUAGUUUUUCAAAACAGCAGCUUUUGUGGAAGUGAAGAAACGCAGUCUAAAAGUUGUUUCCGCCCGGUUUCGAACCGGGGACCUUUCGCGUGUGAGGCGAACGUGAUAACCACUACACUA